Molecule: ribosomal RNA, 468 nt
Filed under: uncultured bacterium
Lineage: Bacteria
Description: partial 16S ribosomal RNA
Rfam family: Bacterial small subunit ribosomal RNA
Source: RNAcentral
GACGAACGCUGGCGGCGUGCUUAACACAUGCAAGUCGAACGGAAAGGCCCUGCUUUUGUGGGGUGCUCGAGUGGCGAACGGGUGGGUAACACGUGAGUAACCUGCCCUUGACUUUGGGAUAACUUCAGGAAACUGGGGCUAAUACCGGCUAGGAGCUCCUGCUGCAUGGUGGGGGUUGGAAAGUUUCGGCGGUUGGGGAUGGACUCGCGGCUUAUCAGCUUGUUGGUGGGGUAGUGGCUUACCAAGGCUUUGACGGGUAGCCGGCCUGAGAGGGUGACCGGCCACAUUGGGACUGAGAUACGGCCCAGACUCCUACGGGAGGCAGCAGUGGGGAAUAUUGCACAAUGGGCGGAAGCCUGAUGCAGCAACGCCGCGUGCGGGAUGACGGCCUUCGGGUUGUAAACCGCUUUCGCCUGUGACGAAGCGUGAGUGACGGUAAUGGGUAAAGAAGCACCGGCUAACUACGUG